Molecule: ribosomal RNA, 253 nt
Filed under: uncultured bacterium
Lineage: Bacteria
Description: partial 16S ribosomal RNA
Rfam family: Bacterial small subunit ribosomal RNA
Source: RNAcentral
UACGAAGGGGGCUAGCGUUGCUCGGAAUCACUGGGCGUAAAGCGCACGUAGGCGGACUCUUAAGUCGGGGGUGAAAUCCCAGAGCUCAACUCUGGAACUGCCUUCGAUACUGGGAGUCUUGAGUGUGGUAGAGGUUGGUGGAACUGCGAGUGUAGAGGUGAAAUUCGUAGAUAUUCGCAAGAACACCAGUGGCGAAGGCGGCCAACUGGACCAUUACUGACGCUGAGGUGCGAAAGCGUGGGGAGCAAACAGG